Molecule: long non-coding RNA, 529 nt
Filed under: Pongo abelii (Sumatran orangutan)
Lineage: Eukaryota; Metazoa; Chordata; Mammalia; Primates; Hominidae
Description: lincRNA
Source: RNAcentral
AGAGACGUAGGGGCUGUGUUGACCAGGCUGGUCUCGAACUCUUGGCCUCAAGCCAUCCUCCCACCUCAGCCUCCCAAAGUGCUGGGAUUACAGGCUUGAGCCACCACAUCCAGCCUACCUAAAAUAUUGAAUGCUGUUAAUAAAUCUCCUGAGGCCAGCAUAAGAAGUUGAUGGGCAAAACUAAUGCAGUAGGAGCUGAAAUUGACCGGGGUGUUCUUAUCCAACAGACAGCAGCAAAACUCUUUGUGUAUCUGCAUUCCUUUCAACAAAUGUGACUUCCUCAAUGGCAUCAUUCAUGAGCGUAACACAGAGCUCAGCAAUAACGUUUCUUCACUAACCCUACCAGGGUUUCAAUUGUGCAAUUUCACCAUUAGCAAAGCUUUUUGCUGAAAUCUGGCUUUUCAAAGGGAGAGUAUCCAGAAACAGAAGAUGCUGAUCUGGGAGACUCUUCCUAAUAGAACUGCUGCUUCAGUUUAACUUGGAAAAGCCCACACCCAGUUCCUAAUGACAAACAUCUGAACACCGGGUC